AUUGAACGCUGGCGGCAGGCCUAACACAUGAAAGUCGAACGAGUGGCGGACGGGUGAGUAAUGUCUGGGAAACUGCCAGAUGGAGGGGGAUAACUACGGGAAAAGGUAGCUAAUACCGCAAGGCAUCGGAUGUGCCAAGAUGGGAUUGGCUAGGAGGUGGGGUAACGGCGCACCAAGGCGACGAUCCCUAGCUGGUCUGAGAGGAUGACCAGCAACACUGGGACUGAGACACGGUCCAGACUCCUACGGGAGGCAGCAGUGGGGAAUAUUGCACAAUGGGCGCAAGCCUGAUGCAGCCAUGCCGCGUGUAUGAAGAAGGCCUUAGGGUUGUAAAGUACUUGCAGCGAGGAGGCGUUACUCGCAGAAGAAGCAUCGACUAACUCCGUGCCAGCAGCCGCGGUAAUAC
This 406-nucleotide ribosomal RNA is filed under the name uncultured bacterium. RNAcentral describes it as "partial 16S ribosomal RNA". It matches the Rfam family "Bacterial small subunit ribosomal RNA", at positions 29 to 526 of the family's 1533-position model. The record is from RNAcentral.